RNAcentral lists this ribosomal RNA (253 nucleotides) under uncultured bacterium. RNAcentral describes it as "partial 16S ribosomal RNA". It matches the Rfam family "Bacterial small subunit ribosomal RNA", at positions 524 to 776 of the family's 1533-position model. The record is from RNAcentral.
UACGAAGGGGGCUAGCGUUGUUCGGAAUUACUGGGCGUAAAGGGCGCGUAGGCGGCUAUAUAUGUCUGAUGUGAAAGACCUGGGCUUAACCUGGGAAGUGCAUUGGAAACGGUAUAGCUAGAGGACGAGAGAGGAUUGUGGAAUUGUGCGUGUAGAGGUGGAAUUCGUAGAUAUGCACAAGAACACCGAAGGCGAAGGCAGCAAUCUGGCUCGUAACUGACGCUGAGGCGCGAAAGCGUGGGGAGCAAACAGG